AACGAUGGAUACUAGGGGUUGCUCGUAAUCGACCCGAGCAGGCGCGUAGCCAACGCGGUAAGUAUCCCGCCUGGGGAAGUACGCUCGCAAGAGGGAAACUCAAAGGAAUUGACGGGGGCCCGCACAAACGGUGGAGUAUGUGGUUUAAUUCGAUGCAACGCGAAGAACCUUACCAGGGGCUUGACAUGUCCGGGAACCUUGCCGAAAGGUGAGGGUGCGUACGGGAACCGGAGCACAGGUGGUGCAUGGCUGUCGUCAGCUCGUGUCGUGAAGAUGUUGGGUUAAGUCCCGCAACGAGCGCAACCCACGUUCUUAGUUGCCAGCAUUCAGUUGGGGCACUCUAGGGAGACUGCCGGUGACAAACCGGAGGAAGGUGUGGAUGACGUCAAGUUCAAGCAUGCCCCUUACGUUCCUGGGCUAACAACAACGUACUACAAUGCUGUGGAACAAAGGGCAGCCAGCCGGCGACGGUGAGCUUAAUCCCAUAAACCACGGCACAGUUCAGAUUGCAGGCUGCAACUUGCCUGCAAUGAAGGAGGAAUCGCUAGUAAUCGCAGGUCAGCAUACUGCGGUGGAUACGUUCCCGGGCCUUGUACAACACCGCCCNUCACACCAAUGGGAGUUGGUUUUGCCC
Molecule: ribosomal RNA, 634 nt
Filed under: uncultured organism
Description: bacterial SSU rRNA
Rfam family: Bacterial small subunit ribosomal RNA
Source: RNAcentral